RNAcentral lists this long non-coding RNA (332 nucleotides) under Brassica napus (rape). RNAcentral's name for it is "long non-coding RNA (BNAP_LNC014519)". Lineage: Eukaryota; Viridiplantae; Streptophyta; Magnoliopsida; Brassicales; Brassicaceae. The record is from RNAcentral.
GUUUACAGAUUAAUUCUGGUUUACAAAACUAAACCAGAAAUUAAAAAAUAAAAUCAGACCACUACAUUUUUUCUAACUCGGUUUACACUUAACCAGACCUAACCUAAACCUAAAGAAAAAACUCAUGCCGCCUCCUCCAUAGCCUUGUCCCUCUUCCAGCAGCCAUGAACCUUGCUUCCUCCAGCCACCAUGAACCUUGGCUCCUCCACCUAUCUUUACCAAAAACAAAACAAAAUCAGAUUCGUAAUAGAGCAACAGAGAGAAGGAGAUACACAGAUACAAAGAGAGAGAGAGAGAGAGAGAGACGUCGACCGUGGUGGUGGUGAGACAAG